GGUCCGGGGGGGGGGGGCGCCUCCCUCCCUUUUUCUCGCUCCCCGGUCCUCAGGCUCACGCAGAUGUUCGCGGCGUCAUUGCAGGAGACAAAGUGUUUUUGCCUUUCUGGUGAGUGAGCCCGGUGAGCUGCGAGCAGGUGUCGCGGCGUGCCGGAGGGCAGGUGUGGAACCAGAGAGUGCGCGUGCGCGCGUGCGUGCGCGCGUGUGUGAGGAGGGAGUGGAAACUGAGUGAGCAGCUCAGCUGAGAGCGGCUUGUUUUGUGUCUCUCGGCUUGUGACGUCAACGUUGGGGGCUGGACGCCUCUCUCUCUCUCUCUCUCUCUCUCUCUCUCUCUCUCUCUCGCUUCUCAUCCUGAAGACUCCCAGCAUCCGUCCUUCUGUGCUUUAUUUCUUUGUCUUUGUACCACAAAUAAUGUUUUCCUCUCAUGUUUCUUUCAGGAGCGACCGAUUAGUCACUAAUUCUUUCACUCGUUGAAUAAUAAUCUUCAAGGAGAAGCUGCUUUGCCUGUUCAUUGUGCCGCCUUGUUUAUGUCCAUUGCGCCUCCUACAAUACAUAUCGCAGCUGAAUGAACUAAACCUUAUUAAGACCAUCUGCAUCUAUAGGUGAUGACAACGUCUCUUCACCUGCAGCUACAAAAUACUCAAUAUUGAAUGAUAACUUGAUGGGCCUGAGUUCAUAAAAGUCAGAUCCCACAUCAACAUGUGAACAUUUUCCUUAAUGGAUGGUUUGGUAUUAUAAGCUGUCCCGAGUCAGUGAUUAUUGAUAUGUCUGCUCUACACUUCAAGAUGUUGUACACACACACACACACACACACACACACACACACACCCUCCCAAAGUGUCUUGGACAAAAGGCCGAGUGAAUCAGCAUAACAAAAGGCCGGGCUCAGUGAGGACCAGCCAGAGCAUGCGGCCGACACAACCCUCCCCCUGGUGGGGGGGUUGAGCUUUUCCCUGCUGUCAGAUACCUCCUCCCCUUCCUCUCCUCUCCAGGCUGCUUCUACACAACACACAAGCGCUAAUGUGGAGCCCUAAACCACAGUAUUUCUUAAUGAUGGAAUGACGCACGUUCUUCCUCACUGGAUGCUGAUGGUAAACGCAUCUGCCCCAGAUGACCAGAGGACCACAGUGUCCUCUGGACCCCCGGCCGCGUGUGAACAAGGCGCCGACAACAUCAUCACGUCAACUUGUUCCUCCCCCCCGAUGAGGAGUUGUAGGCGUGAGCAGGAAUUAAUCCCUCUCCCCGCUAAUAGGCACGCACGAGGACACGGCGCCGUAACCCGCCUGGAUUAAUAAUGCAUGUGUUGGCAGAUAACAUGAAACCUUGAUGUAUGACAACGGCAGCCACGCGGUGAUAAGUGGCUGCCUCAUCAGGGCGCUUUGCAUAAAGACGGAGCCCUCGAAUCAAACCAGCAGCUCCUGCACAACCCAGGAGUACCGUUUCCUUUAUGGUGGUGAAUAUUAAACAGCCGCUUCUGCCGUGAGAUGAAGUCCGGGUCAUGCUGGAGGGGCCCGGGGGCCGAGGGCAGCCGGGUGGUCUCUCCCUCCUCCCGCUGAGUGCUUUCAUGAAGUGCUUUGGCCAGCGGAGGUUUUUUUUUUUUUUGCAUGGAAAGUUGAGCUGAAGGACACGGAGCUGUUUGUGGAGAAAGUGGUGUUGUAGCGGAGGGAAGACUGGCUUUGUGCUUCAGCCUUGGUGUUUCUGCAGAGAGAGCGGCACCUGAGGACAGUGACAUGUUUUUGAAGAGCGGCGCCUCUGUGAGUUUAAGGGCCCGAUGGCCGGUCCCGUGCCGUGACCUCGACCUUCGUGGUCGAUUCCAAACCGUUUCCAUUCCAGUCCAACAAGUAACCUCAACCGUUUCAUGUCCGGGCCCAAGCGUCGCCAUGGGAGGUCAACGCCCUAUUUCUCCCAUACUGACAGUUGAGCCGGCUGGUCACGGUUGCUAAGUAACGUUCACCUUGGACAGCAGUUGAAGCACAACCAGAUAUUUUAAUUUAGUGCUUCCAGGUUUAAAAUCGCCACAAACCAGCAUGAUCAACCAUUAUCUCUUGUCCCACCGAGUCAGUAAUGUUUUCACAUUACUAUUCAAAGCAAAGCCCUUUUUCUAAUGAUUAUUUUAAAGGAACAGAGGGAACUUAUGAGAUGUUAUUGGCCGGGCUCAAUGGCUUUGCACUGCCAGAUGUCAUCGCGGCGGUGUUUGCAGUCGUGAGCACAGAUGGAUUCAUCUAGGUGGAUUUUCCUUUACGUUGUUGAUUGUUAGGGACGAAAUGAAACAUUUCUCUUCAUCAAACAGAGUUCCGGUCUAUGAGGUUUUGUUGUGCAGCUUCUCCCACCGAUGCAUUAUUGGAAAUAUUAUUUUUGUUAUUGAGAAACUCGUCCAACGGAGAUCAGUACAGCAAAGCCUCACCUUUCCUUCAAACCCCUGAAUAUCUCUUUCUUUUCACAGCAUUCAUUUUUUAUUUCUCACUCUGCAUGCACACCCACACAUAACUUCAAGAGAAAUCAGCGCUGGUUUUUAUCUGAGGAUCAGCUGUCACCGCAGAAUUUAGGAUAGCCGGCUUAGUUUUUCCAAAGGGUUGGAAGAGAUGUGACAGUAAUAACGUUUCUUGGCUGAACUCUUUUCUUUGAUGUCACUGUAUUGUUUAGUUUAGAAUGAAGCCGUUGUAGUCCAGCUAAUGAGGCUUGAAAUCCAAAAGAAAUAUGAAACCCUGAGAAAUGUGAAGUCAGUUGUGACCAUUUCUGGUUUCUGGUUUGUUGUCCGGAUGAUUUAUAUUCUGUUCCUUUUUAUUUCCACUCGUUUAAUUGAAGCAGCUGAACGUCUUUUCAAUUCGGGGAGCUGCCUCAAAACCGACACGUCUCUCCUUAAGAUGUGCUUUUUUUGUAUUUUUGUCACAUCACUCUAUGACGCAACAAGCCGUAGAUGUCAAUGAGACGGCUUAAUAUUAUAUGAAGCUUAGGCGAAAGUUCAGUCAGGAAGACUGAACAGGCGGUGCCGUUCCCUGGUGGCCUCCUCUCGCCCCGUGGCCGCACGGCCAGCUGAUUAGGGGCGGGGUCAGGUAGCACCAGCCAACCAGACGUGGCGGCCGUUACCGUAAACCAACUGCAUCGGUGCAGGCAAACGUUAAAAACUCUUUUGCUGCCAGUUGUCAAAGUGGACCCGACACCUCCAAUCUACAGCAGAACCUGGCACAUCAGGGGAGCAACUUAUUCUCUACCUCCACCACCAGUGUCUGGACUCCCAAAGGGGGGGAAUAUGCCUCAUCUCGGCUCGGCGCCCCGGCCCCCGGUCUAUCCUACGGCAGGAUGGCGUCCAAGCACCAAACAGCAUUGCAAUAUAAAUAUUUAUGCCUGUUAUAAUAAGAGAACUUGCUCAGUGUUGGAAGGAUUUCUCAGAUCCUUUACUGUGUAAAACAAUCAAAAUAUAAUGUAAAGUCAAAUGAAUGGAUAAAGAAAUUGAAGUACUGGCAUCACGAUAAACUUAUAAAUGACCAAAUAUUAGUGAAGUGUUAAUAAUAAUCCCUGGAUUAUGUAGACGUAAAUAGAAACUAUUCCUCACAAUUAUACUUGAGUAAAGGACUUGAGUAAAUGUAAUUAUGUAAUGUAACGUAAUAACAUUCCACCACUGCAUGAAACUAUUACUGGUUAUCUGGGGAUGAAAAUGUUGCCUUUAGGUGUGAAUGUCUGGUGCAGAUUCGUCCCAUAGCAACCGCGUUUGAUCCCCGAUAUCGUAACUAUGCACUCAGCUAAUUAACGCAGACGUUCGUAAAAGUGGUCCAUCGCCCUCCGGUGACACUGGCAGAAACGUUUGAAAGGACAUUUCAGUUCAACUUUGAGGCUCCUGUUUAGGCACGACAAAGGCAUUAACGAACAAUCCCAGCAUGCACUGCUGCUGUUUUACACACAACCAAGACGCAGGCUCUUCGUCUGGUUUGAAUGUUUGCUCGGAGUCCCUUCAUCAACAUUUCAAGCCCAAAUUCAAGGUGCCUCGGCUCAGCCUGCUCGAUGCCGAUAAGACUUUUCAUUUUCAGGCCACCGCAAUUUUGGAAAAGUCGGAAAUGGCCGAGGUGCGAGGAGGACGUCCGAUAAAAGUGGAAUAACAAAGAAGAGGAGAAACCUGCUGCUUCCGACACAUUGAAGGCUGCAGCGGUGUGUGUGUGAGUGUGUGUGUGUGUGUGUGUGUGGGGGGGUGUUAAAUUGAACAUUUCCCUGCAGCAUCCAAACAACAGCACUGCGAUCACAUGACUUUGGCCUCACAGUAAAACAGAAACGUUGCUCUUCAUACUGAAUCUUUCCAUUAGAACUUCAGCCUGAAUAUGAAUGGUUUCUCAUCACGCUUUUAUCUCGCCAUCGGCGCCGUCUCAGACCGAGCGCCAAGUGUCUCGGCUUUAGAGACAUUGGAUAAAACCAGCAAAGCAGUCAAUCUGGCAGUGUAAUUACCCAUCAUGCAGUAGCUCAGAGCUGUUCUUCCUCCCUCUAGGUGCAUGAAGAGAUAAAAUAAAGUUAAUCCCUCACACCCAACCUGACUUCACGUCGCAGUGCUGGUUGUCACCACAGAAACUUAAUAGAGCUUAAUACGAUUUAUGGUUAAGGAAAUUAAACCAAUGAGCAAAUGACAGAGAGGAAAGUUAAAAAGGUGCAGUUUGUUUGUGAUGGCUUACUGCUAAAUAAUCAGAGCUUUUAAGGAAAAGGCACCAUGUACUGGAUAAAAGCACAGAUGGAACACAAUGAUGAAAUGACACAAUUCCCAACAUGUUCAUACAAAGUGACCUCGGGGGAAACUGCCUUUUGCAUUAUCAGUGUCCUGCACCCGCGAGUCCCGUCUCUGCCAUUUGCACACCAGUAAUCAAUACGUCUCAUUUCCCUGACAGGCAGAGAUUGCUGCCCAGGUAAACAAAGUGAAAGACUCGCUGCAGUCAUUAAAAUUGCACAACCGUUAUUUUCCUCACGGCCAAUUGCAGCAGGCGCAAGUAAUGACCUUCACAUGGCGAGGCUCCUUUAAGACGCGCUUUUGUCCUGAACAAGCAGGCAUCUAAACCAACUUUCAUUUUAUUGAAGCAUUUUUGAGCGCUAGAGAUGAAGAAUAUCCCUUUUGUUCAAGGAUCAUUCAAAAUAGGACCCGGGAUACAGAUGUGCAGUGUGGGAGGGAGAGAGGGGAGAGAGUUUGAUACCAUUAUUGGGGUACAAACAUUUUGACAGCGUUGAAGCGAAAAGGCGUCAGUCAGUAAGCUUUUCCUCCACCUCUCCUCCUCGGCGAGGUUCGGUCCGUUGACUCAGCACAGUGUAGGAAGGCCGGGCAGGUGAUGGUGGGUGGGGGCCGUGUGAAGGAGGGAAGGCAAGGGCGGGAGGACACCCCCAUCUCGGCAAUUUAAAUCAACGCGACUCCAAUCGGGGUCCGAUCGAGACGAUUACGUGUCUCUUUGUGGUCAAAGAUAUUUUUGAAGUUUGCUUUUUUAUGGGCAUGUAUUGGUUUUCAGCACAAAGUGCUUUGAAAAAUUGCCCCCAUGAGAAACGCUGAGUCUCUGCUGCCCCGAGAGGACCAACGAUGACGCUGACCAAGACUCCGUCAAUCUCCGCCCGCUUUCGGUUUCAACAAAUCACCUUCCUGUGUUAAGUGCCCGCCCCCUCCCACCGACAGCUGCCCCAAUGGUGGAACAAUGGAUAUGACGAGCGCUGCACAGCAGAGCCACAUGGAGGAGCUAGGCGCUAGCAUUAGCAGCUAAUGCUACUCCCGCACAGGCUUGUGCUGACUGGGAUGUGACAUUCUCUAUUACGGGUAAACCUUCUUGUAUUUACCCUAAAAAAAAGGGGUAAAUGUGAUUUUGUGUUGUUGUGGUUGAAUGUAAUUUAUGGUGCUCUCAGAUAGCUGCUAGACAACCCAUAAAAUACACAAAGACCCCGCUGGUACCAGCGUGAGAGUCCGGCUUUAGAAAGAAUAAACAGAAACACAUUUGGCCUGAAGCAGAAAUUGUUGAAUUGUGGACUUUUGGAACGUAAAAUACAAAAUUAGGGCCACUUUUCAUUACAACAACGUCCUUGAUAAAAAAAAUAGAAACUUUUUUAAGCAUCCAGCAGUUUCAGAGCAACCUUAUUAUCCAAUUGGAGAGAUGUUUCUGGCAUCCAAGUUGAAUAUUCCCUUAGUUUUUGGUCUUCUGGUCUCUGCCGGUGUCAGAUGUUACGCAAAGCAGCCGAAGCGGCAUCUGUCAUUGUGACGCGUUUCGGCAAAUAAAAAAUCAACCUGCAUCAGCAACCUGUGGCGAAGGCAUCGCGGCGCCAAAUCCAGUUUGAAUUGCGUUAGGAAAAAGCAAUAUGACAACGUGAUUAAGGAUUGUUUGUAAAGGGGAGCGUUCGACAGGCCGUUCCUCAAAGAGGAACUACUGAAAACGAAAAAAAACGAGGCGUGAGCUGCGGAUUCAAGUGAUAAUUUGUGAACUGCGUUGUUACAAACAAAUCCAAGUCAAACAGUCCGACAAGGAGCCAUAUCAGCGCUUUACAGCCUGAAAGACUCGAAACACAGAUUCCAUUAAAAAGGUAAAUGAAGCUCGGUGACGAGCACGACAGCCUUCGUCUAGAGGGCAGCGAGCGGCGGAGGCACAAAGCAAAACACGGAGCGGCACGCCAACACAACCCGAUGGCCUCGGCUCCAUUCUGCCAAUCUCUGCUCCCCACGACGCGCCUCGGACUUUCACACCCCCCCCCUUACCUCCCCACCUCCCCUCCCGGCGUAAAACCAGAUCCCAGCUCCCAACACCCCGACGGACAUCUGGGAUUUUUUUAUUUUUCCGCUGCCUGUAAAAUCGACUGCUCCGGAUUUAAAGGGCUUACAGGAGCCGAGAGUCCAUAUUGUGCCACUUCUGUGCACCGGAGUGACUUGACUGAACUACGCUCUAAUGGAUGGGUCCCUUGGACUGGAGCACGGGUUUGUGCGUGCGUACGCGCACACGAGUGUGGGUAAAUCACUGUAGUGGAGCUCUUAUGCUGAAGGAGCACACUGCAGAAAACGGGCCGCGCGGCAGAAGACCUCUUUUGUUUGUGGUUCCUCGUUGGAAGGCGUGGCCAAGGUGUUUUUACCCCCCCUUGAAAUGGCCUUAACCACACCGGACAUUGCUAAUUGCUGCACUGCUUGACAGGCAAACGUCUAAAUACUAUGGCGAUGGAGGAUGGGUUUUAUCCGGCUUCGAGCACCACAGAGGGACGAGCGCAUGAAGACUAUCGUUCUCUCAUCAGCUCGGCCUCUGAGGGAACAAAUCUUCAAACUGGACCAGAUGCAAGUAAACAGUUAAGUGUCAGUGAAGAACUGAUAGAAUCUGAUUUACUGACACACUCAGUAUUAACACCGGUGUUGAAAAUGUAAAACUGCUUUUGUUUGCUGGAUAUUAUAUUAUGUUCUGAUAACGAACAUUCAGGCAUUUGUGUCGUUUCUCAUUUGCAGGACGUCGGCGGUUUCGUUGUUCGGUGGCGUGCGAUUGU
Gasterosteus aculeatus aculeatus (three-spined stickleback) is the source of this 7464-nucleotide long non-coding RNA. The record is from Ensembl. Lineage: Eukaryota; Metazoa; Chordata; Actinopteri; Perciformes; Gasterosteidae.